UCGAGGUCACAUUUUCCUUGUCCAGGUCUGGACUAGGCUGGGCCAGGGCAGGCCUACUGGGCCGUUGGACUGGUCUGCCACUAAUGCCGUGGUUAAAAAUAUUAGUCGUGAUACUUUGAGAAAUACAUCUAGUCUCAAUAGGAAGGAAAAUUAUUUUGAUUCUAGUUUAAGGUGAUUUUGGACAGGUAGAAAGUCUGAAAUUUGACAUGGAUCAAAAGCUAUGCGACUUCGCUGUGAAAUCUGCACGCAAACAAAGGACCAAAGAGAGUAAGGUAGCUUCAAUGGACAAGAAUCAGCAUUCAAAUUCAUUAUUGAAGGGAGAAGAGAAAAGAAACGACACCUUACAAGAUGUGACGCCAAAAGAAGCUUCUCCAAGUGACAAUGAGCAUUCUGCCUUGACCUCGCUUGUAGAACCGCAGGACGAAAAUGGAGAGGAUAAAACCAUCCAACUUAUGGAGGAAAAAUCACAAAUGGAGG
RNAcentral lists this long non-coding RNA (477 nucleotides) under Gossypium barbadense (sea-island cotton). RNAcentral describes it as "long non-coding RNA (GBAR_LNC000465)". Lineage: Eukaryota; Viridiplantae; Streptophyta; Magnoliopsida; Malvales; Malvaceae. The record is from RNAcentral.